GCCAAACAGCUAGCUCAAUUACCCAAUAACUAAACAAUAUAAAUAAAACAAAAUAAGCCUAACACCAAAAAUUAAAUCAUUCUUUUACCUUAGUAUGGGCGACAGAAAAGGUUACACCCGGAGCAAUAGAAAAAGUACCGCAAGGGAAAGCUGAAAGAGAAAUGAAAUAACUUAUAUAAGCACCAAAAAGCAAAGAUUAAAUCUUGUACCUUUCGCAUCAUGAUUUAGCCAGUAUACCCAAGCAAAGAGACCUUUAGUUUGAAACCCCGAAACCAAGUGAGCUACCCCGAGACAGCCUAUUAAGGGCCAACCCGUCUCUGUGGCAAAAGAGUGGGAAGAGCUCCGGGUAGAGGUGACAGACCUACCGAACUUGGUGAUAGCUGGUUGCCUAAGAAGUGAAUAGAAGUUCAGCCUCGUACUCCCUGAAUCAAAAGGUAUAAAAAGAUAUUAGAGGGAAAUAUAUGAGAGUUAGUUAAAGGGGGUACAGCCCCUUUAACAAAGGACACAACCUUUCCAGGAGGAUAAAGAUCAUAAUACAUAAGACAUCCUGUUCUAGUGGGCCUAAAGGCAGCCAUCUAAACAGAAAGCGUUAAAGCUCAGACAGAAAUAAGUUUAUUAUUCCGACAAGAAAUCUUAUUCCCCUAAAUAUUAUUAGGCCAGCCCAUGCCCACAUGGGAGAGACUAUGCUAAAAUGAGUAACAAGAAGGCCAGCCCUUCUCCAAGCACAAGUGUAAGCCAAACCGGACCGACCAUUGGCAAUUAACGAACUCAACCCAAGAGAGUAGUGUGUAUUACAACAAAACCAGGAAGAACCCACAGUAAACCCAUCGUUACCCCCACACUGGCGUGCUAUUAAAGGAAAGACUAAAAGAAGGGAAAGGAACUCGGCAAACACAAGCCUCGCCUGUUUACCAAAAACAUCGCCUCCUGCAACACAACCAAGUAUAGGAGGUCCAGCCUGCCCAGUGACUACAAGUUCAACGGCCGCGGUAUUUUGACCGUGCAAAGGUAGCGCAAUCACUUGUCUCUUAAAUGGAGACCUGUAUGAAUGGCUAAACGAGGGCUUAACUGUCUCCCCCCUCCAGUCAGUGAAAUUGAUCUAUCCGUGCAGAAGC
RNAcentral lists this ribosomal RNA (1115 nucleotides) under Schizopygopsis younghusbandi younghusbandi. RNAcentral's name for it is "partial 16S ribosomal RNA". It matches the Rfam family "Bacterial large subunit ribosomal RNA", at positions 157 to 2062 of the family's 2925-position model. The record is from RNAcentral. Lineage: Eukaryota; Metazoa; Chordata; Actinopteri; Cypriniformes; Cyprinidae.